CAGUCGCCGCGGGAAUACGAAGGGUGCAAGCGUUAAUCGGAAUUACUGGGCGUAAAGCGUGCGCAGGCGGUUGUGUAAGACAGGUGUGAAAUCCCCGGGCUUAACCUGGGAACUGCGCUUGUGACUGCACAGCUAGAGUAUGGCAGAGGGGGGUGGAAUUCCACGUGUAGCAGUGAAAUGCGUAGAGAUGUGGAGGAACACCGAUGGCGAAGGCAGCCCCCUGGGCCAAUACUGACGCUCAUGCACGAAAGCGUGGGGAGCAAACAGGAUUAGAUACCCCAGUAGUCCCUGUCUCUUAUAC
Molecule: ribosomal RNA, 301 nt
Filed under: uncultured bacterium
Lineage: Bacteria
Description: partial 16S ribosomal RNA
Rfam family: Bacterial small subunit ribosomal RNA
Source: RNAcentral